This 99-nucleotide transfer RNA is filed under the name Streptomyces griseoaurantiacus. Its description in RNAcentral is "tRNA-Arg". The record is from RNAcentral. Lineage: Bacteria; Bacillati; Actinomycetota; Actinomycetes; Kitasatosporales; Streptomycetaceae. RNAcentral also lists the same sequence under 1 other name.
CGCCCGGGGCGGCCUCGUGUUCCGAGGCCACGGGUGCCGCGGGCACCCGGGGACGGACGGCCGUGACCGGCCCGGCCGGAUCGGGCCCGGCCGGGGCGA